Molecule: ribosomal RNA, 465 nt
Filed under: Vreelandella stevensii
Lineage: Bacteria; Pseudomonadati; Pseudomonadota; Gammaproteobacteria; Oceanospirillales; Halomonadaceae
Description: partial 16S ribosomal RNA
Rfam family: Bacterial small subunit ribosomal RNA
Source: RNAcentral
CCUACGGGCGGCAGCAGUGGGGAAUAUUGGACAAUGGGCGAAAGCCUGAUCCAGCCAUGCCGCGUGUGUGAAGAAGGCCUUCGGGUUGUAAAGCACUUUCAGUGGGGAAGAAAGCCUUGGGGCUAAUACCCUCGAGGAAGGACAUCACCCACAGAAGAAGCACCGGCUAACUCCGUGCCAGCAGCCGCGGUAAUACGGAGGGUGCGAGCGUUAAUCGGAAUUACUGGGCGUAAAGCGCGCGUAGGCGGUCUGAUAAGCCGGUUGUGAAAGCCCCGGGCUCAACCUGGGAACGGCAUCCGGAACUGUCAGGCUAGAGUGCAGGAGAGGAAGGUAGAAUUCCCGGUGUAGCGGUGAAAUGCGUAGAGAUCGGGAGGAAUACCAGUGGCGAAGGCGGCCUUCUGGACUGACUCUGACGCUGAGGUGCGAAAGCGUGGGUAGCAAACAGGAUUAGAUACCCUAGUAGUC